This 635-nucleotide ribosomal RNA is filed under the name uncultured eukaryote. RNAcentral's name for it is "bacterial SSU rRNA". It matches the Rfam family "Eukaryotic small subunit ribosomal RNA", at positions 613 to 1257 of the family's 1831-position model. The record is from RNAcentral.
UUGCAGUUAAAAAGCUCGUAGUUGGAUUUCGGUUAAGAGCGUCCGGUCCGCCGUUUGGUGUGCACUGGUUGGUUUUAACUUCCUGUAGAGGACGUGCUCUGGGCUUAACGGUCUGGACUCGGAGUCUACGUGGUUACUUUGAAAAAAUUAGAGUGUUCAAAGCGGGCUUACGCUUGAAUAUUUCAGCAUGGAAUAACACUAUAGGACUCCUGUCCUAUUUCGUUGGUCUCGGGACGGGAGUAAUGAUUAAGAGGGACAAUUGGGGGCAUCCGUAUUUCGUUGUCAGAGGUGAAAUUCUUGGAUUUACGAAAGACGAACAACUGCGAAAGCACUUGCCAAGAGUGUUUUCAUUAAUCAAGAACGGAAGUUAGAGGUUCGAAGGCGAUCAGAUACCGCCCUAGUUCUAACCAUAAACGAUGCCAGCUAGCGAUCUGCCGAGUUUUUUUUGUUGGCUCCGCAGGAAGCUUUCGGGAAACCAAAGCUUUUGGGUUCCGGGGGAAGUAUGGUUGCAAAGCUGAAACUUAAGGGAAUUGACGGAAGGGCACCACCAGGAGUGGAGCCUGUGGCUCAAUUUGACUCAACACGGGAAAACUUACCAGGUCCAGACAUAGUAAGGAUUGACAAGUUGAGAGCCC